Molecule: transfer RNA, 68 nt
Filed under: human gut metagenome
Also listed under: 2 other names
Rfam family: tRNA
About the family: Transfer RNA (tRNA) molecules are approximately 80 nucleotides in length.
Source: RNAcentral
GGAUGUAGCUCAGCUGGUUAGAGCGCCGGUCUGUGGAACCGGAGGUCGCGGGUUCAAAUCUCGUCAUC